This 130-nucleotide small nuclear RNA is filed under the name Suricata suricatta (meerkat). Its description in RNAcentral is "U12 minor spliceosomal RNA (ENSSSUG00005009609.1)". It matches the Rfam family "U12 minor spliceosomal RNA". From Rfam's summary of the family: Although the U12 sequence is very divergent from that of U2, the two are functionally analogous. The record is from Rfam by way of RNAcentral. Lineage: Eukaryota; Metazoa; Chordata; Mammalia; Carnivora; Herpestidae.
AUAUUUAAACUUAUGAGUAAGGAAAAUAAUGUACUUACUGCUAAUGUAAGAUGAAUUUUUGAACAGGUAAAGUUUGCCCCUAAGGUGACCCACCUACUUUGCAGGAUGACUGGAUAUCAUGAUCUGCUUG